This 253-nucleotide ribosomal RNA is filed under the name uncultured bacterium. RNAcentral describes it as "partial 16S ribosomal RNA". It matches the Rfam family "Bacterial small subunit ribosomal RNA", at positions 524 to 776 of the family's 1533-position model. The record is from RNAcentral.
UACGAAGGGGGCUAGCGUUGCUCGGAUUGACUGGGCGUAAAGGGCGCGUAGGCGGUUCGUACAGUCAGACGUGAAAUUCCUGGGCUCAACCUGGGGGCUGCGUUCGAUACGUGCGGACUAGAGUGGGGAAGAGGGUCGUGGAAUUCCCAGUGUAGAGGUGAAAUUCGUAGAUAUUGGGAAGAACACCGGUGGCGAAGGCGGCGACCUGGUCCUUGACUGACGCUGAGGCGCGAAAGCGUGGGGAGCAAACAGG